This 691-nucleotide long non-coding RNA is filed under the name Anser cygnoides (Swan goose). Its description in RNAcentral is "lncRNA (ENSACDG00005002537.1)". Lineage: Eukaryota; Metazoa; Chordata; Aves; Anseriformes; Anatidae. The record is from RNAcentral.
CCAGCACCCAGCCCCAGCACCGCCCGCCCCCUUGGAGCUGGGAAGAGGCUCCAGCGCCAUGGGCUGCUCCAGCAGCGCCCGCAGCCGGCCCCAGGAGCACCCCCCUGGCACCGGGGAGCCUCUGCGGGCAUCACCAGGUGAGAACACCCCCACCGCAGACGACUACGAGACCAUAGCUGACCAAACCCUGCUGGGCCCGGCGGAGGAGGUGAGUCUCGCCUCGGAGGAGACCAACCCGGGCGAGCGCCUGCCAGGGGACGAAGCUGCGGCUGUGAGCCCAGCCGAGGAGGAGAAGAUCGGUUCGGUCAGGGACAGGGAGGAGCCGGAGGGCAAGGAGCCGCUGCCUGCGGGGUCGGAGGAGAGCUCUGAGCUGCCGUCUGCGUGGCGAGAGGAGACCACAGGGCCUUCACCACCACCGGCGCCGGGAGAAGAUGCUGGGUCACUGCCACCAGGCCCGGCGGAGGACAGUGGGCUGGUAGAGGGCAGUGACAGCUCUGUAGUGGAAAUCCUCAACAAAGUGCAUGUUACUGAAGAGGACCACUUCAUUGAGGGUGAGACGGGAGAACAGGUGGAAACUGAGCUGCUCAGUGAGAUAGUAAGUGGAGGGCCUGAAACAAAAGAAGAAGAAACAGGAGAAGCUGUGGAUGGUGCAGCAGCAACAGAGAUAGAAACAGCUAAUAACAAGGAAUAG